RNAcentral lists this ribosomal RNA (252 nucleotides) under uncultured bacterium. RNAcentral's name for it is "partial 16S ribosomal RNA". It matches the Rfam family "Bacterial small subunit ribosomal RNA", at positions 524 to 776 of the family's 1533-position model. The record is from RNAcentral.
UACGUAGGUCCCGAGCGUUGUCCGGAUUUAUUGGGCGUAAAGCGAGCGCAGGUGGUUUAUUAAGUCUGGUGUAAAAGGCAGUGGCUCAACCAUUGUAUGCAUUGGAAACUGGUAGACUUGAGUGCAGGAGAGGAGAGUGGAAUUCCAUGUGUAGCGGUGAAAUGCGUAGAUAUUAGGAGGAACACCAGUGGCGAAGGCGGCUUUCUGGACUGUUACUGACACUGAGGCACGAAAGUGUGGGGAGCAAACAGG